ACGGGGCGCAGCAGGCGCGAAAACUUUACAAUGCGGGAAACGCGAUAAGGGGAUACCGAGUGCCAGCAUAUUAUGCUGGCUGUCCACAUGUGUAAACGGCAUGUGUUAGCAAGGGCCGGGCAAGACCGGUGCCAGCCGCCGCGGUAACACCGGCGGCCCGAGUGGUAAUCAUUUUUAUUGGGUCUAAAGGGUCCGUAGCCGGUUUGAUCAGUUCUUCGGGAAAUCUGACAGCUCAACUGUUAGGCUUCCGGGGAAUACUGUCAGACUUGGGACCGGGAGAGGUAAGAGGUACUAGCAGGGGUAGGAGUGAAAUCUUGUAAUCCCUGUGGGACCACCAGUGGCGAAGGCGUCUUACCAGAACGGGUCCGACGGUGAGGGACGAAAGCUGGGGGCACGAACCGGAUUAGAUACCCGGGUAGUCCCAGCCGUAAACGAUGUUCGCUAGGUGUCAGGGACGGUGCGACCGUUUCUGGUGCCGUAGGGAAGCCGUGAAGCGAACC
RNAcentral lists this ribosomal RNA (500 nucleotides) under uncultured archaeon NS-TS10-311. RNAcentral's name for it is "bacterial SSU rRNA". It matches the Rfam family "Archaeal small subunit ribosomal RNA", at positions 325 to 825 of the family's 1478-position model. The record is from RNAcentral. Lineage: Archaea; Methanobacteriati; Methanobacteriota; Methanomicrobia; Methanomicrobiales.